GGGCGGUUAGCUCAGUUGGUAGAGCGUUGGUUUCACAUACCAGAGGUCAGAGGUUCAAGUCCUCUACCGCCCACCA
RNAcentral lists this transfer RNA (76 nucleotides) under subsurface metagenome. RNAcentral's name for it is "tRNA-Val". It matches the Rfam family "tRNA". From Rfam's summary of the family: Transfer RNA (tRNA) molecules are approximately 80 nucleotides in length. Their secondary structure includes four short double-helical elements and three loops (D, anti-codon, and T loops). Further hydrogen bonds mediate the characteristic L-shaped molecular structure. tRNAs have two regions of fundamental functional importance: the anti-codon, which is responsible for specific mRNA codon recognition, and the 3' end, to which the tRNAs corresponding amino acid is attached (by aminoacyl-tRNA synthetases). tRNAs cope with the degeneracy of the genetic code in two manners: having more than one tRNA (with a specific anti-codon) for a particular amino acid; and 'wobble' base-pairing, i.e. permitting non-standard base-pairing at the 3rd anti-codon position. The record is from RNAcentral.